RNAcentral lists this non-coding RNA (26 nucleotides) under Rattus norvegicus (Norway rat). The record is from RNAcentral. Lineage: Eukaryota; Metazoa; Chordata; Mammalia; Rodentia; Muridae.
GAUGAGGUUUUUCGACUUGGAGUUUC